RNAcentral lists this non-coding RNA (159 nucleotides) under Rhodospirillum centenum SW. RNAcentral's name for it is "6S / SsrS RNA". It matches the Rfam family "6S / SsrS RNA". From Rfam's summary of the family: E. coli 6S RNA was the first non coding RNA to be sequenced, but its function was unknown until recently. It consists of 184 nucleotides that fold into an extended hairpin structure with a large single-stranded internal bulge. Lineage: Bacteria; Pseudomonadati; Pseudomonadota; Alphaproteobacteria; Rhodospirillales; Rhodospirillaceae. The record is from Rfam by way of RNAcentral.
AGGCGGCUGCGCGGUGCGUCAGGUCGCAUAAUCCCCGGGGCCGAUACCCAUCCUCUAGGGAGCUGUCCCUGCCGACGCCCUGGUGUCGGACACACGGCGCCCACCUGCUGAUGCAGGCCGCGGAGGAUACGCAAUACCAACGGCCGUCGCGGCUGUCCU